CAGUGCGUUCGGUUUGAAGCAUGUCAGAGACUCCCCUUGGGAUAACAAGCCUGGAGGAUCUGAGACCUGAGAGAUGAAGACCAGACAAGCCCACCCUGUUUGGUAUAGGUGGCUCCAGGCAACAGUGGUCCAGCUGGUAGCAGAACAGUUGCAGUGUAUAGAGCAUGGAAGACCCCUGGAAGAUCUUGCAUACGUACAUCCAAGGGCACGUGUAUGCCUAGUUGAGAACCACUGCUUCAGAGGACCUGAGUAUCCUGGUCAGGCAUGGGAUUUGUGGGAUGGGAUGGGGAUAGGGAGAGACCUGGUGGGACUGUCGUCGCUUACCAGUGCUGAUCACUUCAAGCACUGGCUAAGCUGGAGGGGAAUUAGGGGACGGGGGUUCCAGGAAACAGAAGCCAGGUGACCUGACCCUGUGUGUCCUCCACAUACAAAUGCUGGCCUAGGCUAUAAGUGUUCUUGCUUUCUAUACUCAGUUCCUAAUGACACUGGGUAGAUGAGAGAAUGGCCAACCUGGGACAGAGACCAGGAGAAGGAACAACCACCCUGAGCCCAUUCAGCAGAAUGGAAACCAGACUCUGAUCUGUGGUGUAGGCGCAAAUGGAAAUUUGCUUAAUCUAAGUAUUGAGAGGGCUGCAAAUGUUGUCUGUGGAGAGACAUUUGUUAUAUUAGCAUAGGCUGAGUCCAUGAGAAAAAAGUCCAUGAAUCUGACUGGGACAUGUGAAGGUUGGGGGAGCUCUUGCUUCCCUCUCAGCGAGUUGUCAGGGCUCAGGGAAGGGAAAGUAAUAGUUUUCCUGAAAUAUGAUUAACUUCCAGGAGGGCCAGAGAUGUAACCAGAGAUGUUCAAUCCUCAGCUCUCUUCCUUCCAUGUCACUGGGUCUGAGUAACUGGUCACUGCACGCUGUUCCUUGUUUGUACUGACUCUAGCCUCCUUCGGAAGAUGUGAGCAUUCUGGUGAGGUACAAACCUCUCUGGGAUAAAGGCAAGGUGAAGGGACAAUAGUCUGCUGUGCAGCAUGAGUACUUUGGGUCCAGGAGCAGCCAAGUGUCUCUUUAUUUAGCUAUUACUGUCUUGGGUGAGUGGAGGGGUGUAUGUAGGAAAAAUCCCUUGGAAUAGCAAGUACCUGCGCUAAAUACCAUUGCAGUAUCUGCCCACUUUCUUCUUGG
Long non-coding RNA from Chelonia mydas (Green sea turtle), 1163 nucleotides. RefSeq lists it as uncharacterized. The transcript has 3 exons. NCBI's taxonomy places the organism in Eukaryota, Metazoa, Chordata, Testudines, Cheloniidae. The record is from RefSeq and is a predicted model, not a curated record.